GUCUUUUUGAUUAUAAUUUGAAGUCUGACCUGCCCAAUGAAAAUUUAAAUGGCCGCGGUAUUUUGACCGUGCAAAGGUAGCAUAAUCAUUAGUUUUUUAAUUGAAAGCUGGAAUGAAAGGUUGGACGAGAAAAUAACUGUCUCAAUUUAAUUUAAUUAGAAUUUUAUUUUUAAGUUAAAAAGCUUAAAUUUUUUUAAAAGACGAGAAGACCCUAUAGAGUUUAAUAUUUUUACAAAUUUUAAUAUUUAUAAAAAUUUUAAUUUUUAAAAAUAUUUUGUUGGGGUGAUAAAUAAAUUUAAUUAACUUUAUUUUUUUUUUUACAUAAAUUUAUGAAUUUUUGAUCCAUUUUAAAUGAUUAUAAGAUUAAAUUACCUUAGGGAUAACAGCGUAAUUUUUUUAGAGAGUUCAAAUCGAAAAAAAAGAUUGCGACCUCGAUGUUGGAUUAAAGUUUAUUUUUGGUGUAGAAGCUAAAAUAUUAAGUCUGUUCGACUUUUAAAACUUUACAUGAUCUGAGUUUAAACCGGCGUGAGCCAGGUUGGUUUCUAUCUUUAAAAUUAUUAAAUAUUUUAGUACGAAAGGACCAAAUAUUUAUAAUAAUUAUUUUAUUAAUGAAUAU
RNAcentral lists this ribosomal RNA (616 nucleotides) under Ochthebius poweri. RNAcentral's name for it is "partial 16S ribosomal RNA". The stretch from base 379 to 537 matches the Rfam family "Bacterial large subunit ribosomal RNA", at positions 2473 to 2632 of the family's 2925-position model. The record is from RNAcentral. Lineage: Eukaryota; Metazoa; Arthropoda; Insecta; Coleoptera; Hydraenidae.